Malaya genurostris is the source of this 1086-nucleotide long non-coding RNA. RefSeq lists it as uncharacterized. The transcript is spliced from 4 exons. The record is from RefSeq and is a predicted model, not a curated record. Lineage: Eukaryota; Metazoa; Arthropoda; Insecta; Diptera; Culicidae.
GUUCAAGCCACCGAAAGAUGUUUCGAUUUAUGGCCAUUCUGGAUAGAACGGGUUGAUGAAAGCUUUGUGUGGAAAUUUAUUUGUGAUAUUACACUGCACAACGAGCUCUUUGUUUUCAUAUCGAAGUCGUGAACUUUUCCCACCGUCAGCAUUUAUGACACCUAGUAUUUACUUUAACAGGCACUGCUAUGGAAGCUUUAUCAUAUCAAGUCAUCCCCAUUUGGGCACAAGGAAAUUAUGCAAUUCAAAAGUAACGAAUAAUCUUAGGGACUUUUAGAAGGAAAUUUGAUGUUUCAAAAGAAAAGGAUUUGUACCUGAGUCCUGUUUUACAAGUUACCUGUUAUUGUUACCUAAUGCUAAUAACGAAUAAUUGCAACCUAGCCUUUGUGCAAAAAUGUAUACCUAAAUUUUAUUUAAAAAAAAACAGCGUCCAGAGACUAACCGGUAUUAACUCAACCUAGAAAGUCUAAUGAAUUCAAGCUAUCUGUACUCAUAUUCAGAUUCAUAACCAUAUUCGAACAACGAGUAAGAACAAAAAAAUUUGUUACCACAUGAGGAUUAUCGUUAUUAAUUGAAUGCUUUGCCUCUUCAUGAUUGAACAGCCCUGAUUGGUUCCUUCAUUAAUACUGGAUAACAUCAAUUUCAACUUCUGGAAUCGAAACAUGCAAACCGAAGCAGCAUAUCAAACAAUAAUUCUAGGUUUAUUUUGUCGUCUGUACAUAAUGCGGUUCCUUACAGAUAUUAAUCGGAAGUUUUUAAACAAUAAUACACAUUCGAUAAUAAAUUUCUAGUUAUGAUCGUUGUAGUUUACUGGAUUAAUAAAGGGUUUCCGCUAAAGCUGGAAUGUAUCAUUAUGUAACUGACCAUGUACAUUCGAAAGAAUGAAAUUCAAGAAAUCGUUUUUAUUGCAUGACCUUACUCGUACAUCUAAACGAAAUUAAACAUGCUGCUGUUUCGAUAUCGGUCUGAAAGAAAAAAUUGCAUUUCUAAUGUAUUCGAGAGGACAAUAAUUACCCAUGAUUGAUAUUCCGUAUUAGAUUGAUGAGCAAAAUAAACAAUAUCCAUAACAGUAAAACCGUUUCUAUG